Molecule: ribosomal RNA, 253 nt
Filed under: uncultured bacterium
Lineage: Bacteria
Description: partial 16S ribosomal RNA
Rfam family: Bacterial small subunit ribosomal RNA
Source: RNAcentral
UACGGGGGGGGCAAGCGUUGUUCGGAAUUACUGGGCGUAAAGGGCUCGUAGGCGGCCAACUAAGUCAGACGUGAAAUCCCUCGGCUUAACCGGGGAACUGCGUCUGAUACUGGAUGGCUUGAGUUUGGGAGAGGGAUGCGGAAUUCCAGGUGUAGCGGUGAAAUGCGUAGAUAUCUGGAGGAACACCGGUGGCGAAGGCGGCGUUCUGGACUGCAACUGACACUGAAAAACGAAAGCCAGGGGAGCAAACGGG